This 253-nucleotide ribosomal RNA is filed under the name uncultured bacterium. RNAcentral describes it as "partial 16S ribosomal RNA". It matches the Rfam family "Bacterial small subunit ribosomal RNA", at positions 524 to 776 of the family's 1533-position model. The record is from RNAcentral.
UACAGAGACUGCAAGCGUUAUUCGGAUUCACUGGGCGUAAAGGGUGCGCAGGCGGCCAAGUGUGUCAGGUGUGAAAUCCCGGGGCUUAACUCUGGAACUGCGCCUGAAACUACUUGGCUAGAGCAUUGGAGAGGGAAGUGGAAUUCACGGUGUAGCAGUGAAAUGCGUAGAUAUCGUGAGGAACACCAGAGGCGAAGGCGACUUCCUGGACAAUUGCUGACGCUCAGGCACGAAAGCGUGGGGAGCCAAAGGG